UGAGUAAUGUCUGGGAAACUGCCUGAUGGAGGGGGAUAACUACUGGAAACGGUAGCUAAUACCGCAUAACGUCGCAAGACCAAAGAGGGGGACCUUCGGGCCUCUUGCCAUCAGAUGUGCCCAGAUGGGAUUAGCUAGUAGGUGGGGUAAUGGCUCACCUAGGCGACGAUCCCUAGCUGGUCUGAGAGGAUGACCAGCCACACUGGAACUGAGACACGGUCCAGACUCCUACGGGAGGCAGCAGUGGGGAAUAUUGCACAAUGGGCGCAAGCCUGAUGCAGCCAUGCCGCGUGUGUGAAGAAGGCCUUCGGGUUGUAAAGCACUUUCAGCGAGGAGGAAGGUGGUGAGCUUAAUACGCUCAUCAAUUGACGUUACUCGCAGAAGAAGCACCGGCUAACUCCGUGCCAGCAGCCGCGGUAAUACGGAGGGUGCAAGCGUUAAUCGGAAUUUACUGGGCGUAAAGCGCACGCAGGCGGUUUUGUUUAAGUCAGAUGUGAAAUCCCCGGG
This 507-nucleotide ribosomal RNA is filed under the name uncultured bacterium. RNAcentral describes it as "bacterial SSU rRNA". It matches the Rfam family "Bacterial small subunit ribosomal RNA", at positions 107 to 607 of the family's 1533-position model. The record is from RNAcentral.